CUUGAAGCUGAAAAGAGGAGGAGGAAGGGCAGAUUAAAAAUAAAACAUGCACUGUUCCUUGUGGUGGCAGCAACUUAGGGCAGGUGGGCCCUUCGAACUUGGGAUGCUCUGCAUGGUCCAGCAGCCACAUUGGGUGGAGCUGUGUGCAGCCAUGGGAACGCACAGAACACCUCAUCUCCUGCUGCCACUGCUUCAGAAAGAAGAAAUGAGAAAGGCAAAACCAGCUGAAUCCUCUGUUUGUCUGCUCUCAGCGUGGGCAAUGUAG
Molecule: long non-coding RNA, 265 nt
Filed under: Numida meleagris (helmeted guineafowl)
Lineage: Eukaryota; Metazoa; Chordata; Aves; Galliformes; Numididae
Description: lncRNA (ENSNMEG00000014720.1)
Source: RNAcentral